CUUUUCCCUUUCGCUUUGCUUUCCUUCCUCCUGCAUAGGGACUUUGACCAAGGAGAAAGCGUCGUGGAAGAAGAAUUAGGACAGACGGAGCCUCCUGCUUUCUUCUUCUCUUUCUAUCCCCCUCCUUUUUUCUUUCCAUCUGCGAGUGACUUUCCGCCUGGUGCGAGUCGUGACAGGUUUACGAGGACCCUGUGAGGCAGCAAAACAGGAACGCUGUCCGCAUUUUUGAGCCGAAAACCCCACUGGCAGAGACAGUGCCCGCGGAAGCGGCCCAGGGCACAGACAGGCGCGGCUGCCGGGCGAGGGGAGGGAAACGCAGGAAGGAUCGCCGCGCUCUGCUUUCCCGGGGCCUCCAGAGCCCGGAAGGACCUGAGGCCUCUGCAGGCCGGGCCUCCCUCCACCACUCUGUCCGCUGGCCCUGUGUGGAGAGGUCUCCGCUUGGUCCGCCAGGUCCCUCAGCCUCCCCUUCCUGCCCUGCUCCAACCCAUCCGCCAACCACAGAGAGCUCCCAUAACAGCAGCCCUACUCACCCGCCGCCACCCUGCACGGCUCGGAGGCCGCAGGCCCAGCGGGCCCGAGGAUCUGGGAUUUGGCCUCCGCCUCUCCUCUAACUUCACCUGUCACCUCUGGGACCUUCAGCCCAGCACGAGUUUGGUGGCUUCUCCAGGGCCACCGUUGGCUUGGACACUCAGCCCUCUGCUGAAAUUAGCUCCCCUUCAAGACUCCGUUCAGGCUGGCAUUUUCUGGGCACCCCACUUAGCCCCCCCACACACACUUUGUCCCUUCCAUAGCAUCCUAGAGUCACAAUUCAGCCUAGGCGGUGUGUGCCUCCCUGGAGCGGUGGGGUGGCAAGGACACUGUCCCUCUCACACGCACGUGAGGACUGAACACUGCCCCGUGUUGCAGGUGUUGGGGACACCAAGCAAACACGGCACCCAUUCUAGCAAGUGGGAGGCAGCGUCAUAAUUAAUACGAGGCUGAGGCAGGAGGGUCUCCAGGAGUUCCAGGCCAGCCUGGGCUACACAGUGAGUUCAGG
This is a long non-coding RNA of Heterocephalus glaber (naked mole-rat), 1036 nucleotides long. The record is from Ensembl. NCBI's taxonomy places the organism in Eukaryota, Metazoa, Chordata, Mammalia, Rodentia, Bathyergidae.